AAAAUGGAGGUGGCCAAUGUUAAUACUCUUGGCACAUCCAUAUCAGGAAAACAAGGUAUGAUGAUGUCAAAAUUGAUGUCAUCUGGCUAGCAGAGCACAGCUGUGAUUUGACUUAGCAGUCCAAGCCAAAACAGCUUUUUUGCUCAUGAGUGGGAGUAACCACAAAGGACGCAAUUAUCUAUGCUGGUUCUUAGCUUGCAACAUGGCUCUGAUCUUUUGGGCCCCAAGGGGUUUAGAAGCAGGCUUAUGAGGCCACCCCUUUGUUAACACAUGUCUAGACAAUUGCUCAUGGGAGACUAAGGCCUGUCGGCGAGGAGCUUUUUUGCAUUGGCUUGUUUGGAUGCCAGGGGUUUUAAUCAGAAAAAACAAAACUCUUCAGCAUACCUGGCCUGCAUUUACAAACCAGCUAAUCUGCUCUGAAAAUGGAUUAAAUUCACUUUAAGCCAGUACAGAGAGAGCUGCAUCCAUGCAGACCCAGGCUUCUUAAUUCUUUUUGCCAGCAGGAAGUCCUGCUGCUAUCCCACAUCACACUUCACAUGUGGAUGCAACUAUCUGUUACCUGAUGCCUUUUCCUGCACUGGAGUCAUGCUGGCCAGCUGCUGUCUUUCCAUGUCAAUGGUGGCAUUCAGGGAGGUGGGCCCCAUGUGCACAGCAGUGGGCAGCUACUUCUUGGUGCUCUGCUAGCCAAACCUCAUGCAUCUGCUUGGCCCUUAGCAGAGAUCAUGAUUUUUUUGGUCUGGGGUGAGGAGGUUGCUGAUUAGCUCUCUCAGCUGUGGACAGGCUGUAUUUAUUGACUAAAAGGAUAACAGCGACUGAUGGCAUGCCAAGAUAUAGGAGCAUAUGGUGAUACAAAUGAUGGUCGGGGCAGUCCUGCGACUAUUUUCACUGCCAUGACAAAGGAAGGGAGCUUGAUGGGAUUCUUUGACCAGGAGAUCAACACAGCCUUUCUCGGUACUAGCCCCUGUCAUAAGCUGAGCCAGGGUUUUGCCAAGGAAGCUGCAGGCCAACCCCAGAACUGCAGACAGUGCAGCAGGAGCCCUUGAGGACUGCAAUGAAGAGAAGCUUCUCUGGAAAGUCCUCCGCGCAGCACCAAAGAAGACAGAUGGCUCCUGAAACUAAGGUGUGCGCUCACAGCAUGACAGCCCUGCAGAGGCGGACCUCUCCCAUUUCCGCACCUGAUCUACUGUGCCCCCCGGACAGAAACAUUAUCCACCUUGCAACGCUGACAGAUCUCCAGUCAGAAAAGGAAGACGGAUGAAAUGUUUUGGGAUUUUUGUCCGCGUCCCAAAAGAAGGAUUAGAAUACGAAAGUAGGGAGAGCUUUUUUGUGUGGUGUUUCUUGCAGAGAGAGGACAGAAUUAACAAGGGCUGCUGCGGAGAAAGUAAAGAAGUGAAAGGAAACAUUGGAGUUUCUGCACAAGCAAACCAUUUUUGUGAAAGAGCAUUUCCAUGCAGUGAUGUCACCCAGACUAUGACCCUUACUGUACCCAACAAUCCUAUAGCCCACGGAACAGUGCAUGCUGGGAGGGAUCCCCACAUUCUAGCCACAGAUACAUCUCACCUCCAGCGUGGAGGAAAACUGGCUGCUUUAAUUUAAAAUAAAAAUCAGAUUUAAGUGUUCAAUUAAAUAUCCUGUUAAAACCUCUGCAAUUAAAGGGUGGUCUAUAUUAAGGCUGAGCUUACUCCUAUUUUUAAAAAUAUUUUAAGUAAUGCUCUUGCUACAGAUAUUUUAAACAAACUAGGAUUGGGGAACUGAUGUAUAUCCCUACUCUAAGCACCUAGAACCAGAGUUUGUGUUAAAACAGCUCUUGAGAUCUAUGGCCUCUUCUGCAAUUGCUGAGAAUAUUUUCUCUUUUAGUUUGAGUAGUUCAUGCACAGUUACAAACUGAGGAAACAUCAGAAAAUCUUGUUUCCUUAAUUCUGUGAAUAAAAAUGGAGGGUCAGGAUGAGCGCUGCUACUUCUAAAACUGGGUAGAUGCAGUAAUUGGAAACGAUCAGUUCUGUUCACUAGUUAUACAUGUUUUUGUUAGUGUACCAGUUUGAGAGCUAAAAAUGUUAGGAUAGAUGCAGCGAUAAGCAUGUUAACUAAUAAACAAGUUUAAAAUG
Molecule: long non-coding RNA, 2105 nt
Organism: Alligator sinensis (Chinese alligator)
Lineage: Eukaryota; Metazoa; Chordata; Crocodylia; Alligatoridae
Exons: 2
Source: RefSeq, a predicted model, not a curated record